CUUAGCAAACGUGAGGCCAUUUUCCUUCUAGACACCCUGCCUGUCUUUGUCUUCCAAUUUGAGCUCAGCGUCCUCCCUUCCCUUUCCUCUCUGGUUUUCAAUUUUCAGAUGCUCCCACCACCCUCCCAAUCCCUGAGCUGGGCCCACCCUUCCACCCACAGCCACCUCCCCACUUCGUGGCCUCUGACUCCCUGUGCCUGGCCCUCCCUCUCUGUGCCCACAGCCCUGGCUUGGCUGUUCUCUCCCCUCACCUUUUCCCUGGUCUUCAGCACUGACCCCAGCUGGCCCUGCUCAGACUUCCUGGCUUCCCCUUAUACCCAGGGCAGUGUCCCAGCCCUUCAGCCUGGCUUCGAGACACAGUUUUGUCUGGGCCUGGGCCACAGUGCCCUGUUUGUGCUCUGUGCUUUAGCAUAGCCCACUCAGGCACUCAGCAUUCUCAGCGGGGAUACAAGUGACUGUAGGUAGUAGACAGCUGGACUUGGGGUUAAAGAGUAGAAAUGUCAUUACCUCAUCCAAAAGAAGCUCAGAAGUGUGAGAGAGAGCAUUGGGGCCUGGCUGUCAAAGGCUGUACCUUUCUCUCAUCCUCUGUAAUAAAAAGACCCACAAACAUGAGCAUGAAGAAGAUAGAAGCAUAUUUGUCUCACGUGGGAGGUAGGUGGUUGGGUUCUGGACACCUCAAUUACAUGAGGAUUCAGGGCCCCCAGGUCCUCCCUAUUGUUGCUCAAUGUACCCAAACAUGGUGGGUUACUACUGCAUACAUGCUUCAGCCCAAGGGAAGGGGCAAAACCCCCAAGACAAAGGAAUUUUCUUUUAAGCAUAUGAUCCCAAAGUUGCAUCCCACACUCACUCUGCUAAUACUCCAUUGGUGAGCGUGUGGUCAUGCAGUCAUACCCUAGCUGCAAGGAGAGUCAGAGCAGCUGUGUGAGCUACAAGGGAGGCCAGGCAGCUGUGGGCUGGAUACAAUACUAGGACUAAAGGGAAGGAGAAAUGGGUCAAUGGGACUACUGCAGUGGGCCCUAUGGGACAGACCAAUUAGCCAAGAAGGGGCCACAUUUGAACUAUCAUCAAUCAAGUUCCAGUGAAGAGAGUCCAUAAAAAACUGCUAGUUGGGCCCCGAUGCUGUUCCUAGAGGCAGGAGAUACUGCUGUUGUGCAGGAUCCAGGAGAGGUGACUGGAGGAGGAAACAGAAAGAGACCAAAUCCCUAGCUUCCCCCUGGUUCAUACGCCUCCCUCUGGGUCCCUUUUUCAGACAGAGCCUGACAAGAACCCAACUGUCCAAGCAGAUAUGUGGUCAUUAGAGUCUUGGCUUCAGCAUCUCAGAGUGAAGAAGGGUGAGAUCCAACAGCUGGCUUGUGAGCUACUCUAGGGUGGCAUGGAUGACAGGUGAUGCUCAUUCAAGCAGAAGCAUACUGAGGAAUGGAUAGUGGGUUCUCUGUCCUCAGCUGCCCUCCUGGUGGACAUGGAGGCCCCAGAAGAGAUGCCACCUCGAAGCCUGGGAGGCCUGUCAAAUCCUCGUGAGUGGCCCUUGGUUCUAUGACUUCUGACCUCCACUGCUCCUCUAGAUGUGACAGCAGGGACUUCCUGACCUUGGAGGACCCUGCCUGUCAUCUCUCUCUCAGGAAGCAGUGCCUACAGCAGGUCAGUUGCAGAAUAUGAGGCUCUGGACUCGAGAGCUGCCAUGCAUACGGAAGUUCUCCACACCACCUGCCUCCCAGCCUCUCCGCCUUGUGCAUGGAGACCUUGGUGAGGUCUCCUCCUUGUGACAGCUCCUUGGUUUCC
Long non-coding RNA from Heterocephalus glaber (naked mole-rat), 1779 nucleotides. The record is from Ensembl. Lineage: Eukaryota; Metazoa; Chordata; Mammalia; Rodentia; Bathyergidae.